Molecule: small nucleolar RNA, 104 nt
Organism: Callithrix jacchus (white-tufted-ear marmoset)
Lineage: Eukaryota; Metazoa; Chordata; Mammalia; Primates; Cebidae
Source: Ensembl
AUCCUUUUAUAGUUCACAAGCAUAAUGACUGGGUGUUCAUAUGCUUGUUUGAGAUGUGCCACCCUCAAACCUUGUUUCAAUGUUGGCAUAUUACCCAUCUGACA